GGGUACGUAGUUCAGUCUGGAAGAACAGCCAGCAUCAACGGUGACGACGGUCGGGGAAUCCUUCGGGAUUCUUCUGUUGAUUUGCGUCAUCGCCGGAGACGCUGGAAAGCCCUUGGUUCGAGUCCAAGCGUGCCCA
This 136-nucleotide transfer RNA is filed under the name Halobellus ruber. RNAcentral's name for it is "tRNA-OTHER". Lineage: Archaea; Methanobacteriati; Methanobacteriota; Halobacteria; Halobacteriales; Haloferacaceae. The record is from RNAcentral.